Molecule: long non-coding RNA, 5007 nt
Filed under: Sus scrofa (pig)
Lineage: Eukaryota; Metazoa; Chordata; Mammalia; Artiodactyla; Suidae
Description: lncRNA (ENSSSCG00015057541.1)
Source: RNAcentral
GGAAUUACCUUUUCUUCUUCAAUUUCCGAUUCUGUUAGCCAAACCAUAAUCCUUGCAGGCACUUAUUUUCAACACCUAGAGCUCACGAGACUCUCUUCUCCACUACCUUGGGUUUUUUUCUUUUUUGGCCACCCUGCUGACAUACGGAGUUCCCAGGUCAGGGAUCAGGUCCUAUCCUGCAGCUGCAGCAAUGCCGGAUCCCUCAGCCCACUGGGCCCACCAGGGGUCCAAUCGGUGUUCGGGUGCUGCAGAGACAGUGCCAAUCCAGUGGCGCCACAGCGGGAACUCCACCCCUUUCCAUUUCUAGAAAUGCGGCUGGGCCCCGGCGCCGGCCGGCCUUGUACCUACCCCCGCUGCCUCCACGUCAGCCUCCUACCAUCUCAUGCAGCGUGUUCAACCUGGGAUGUGUUACCCGCUCUGUGGCUUUACCUUCCUGGGGUGAGGAGAGAGCAAGGCCCAGCCUUUUGACGAACGUGGAGCCGCUUCCACGCCACUGGGCUUCCUGGGCUCUAUACAUUUACAGACGGCUUUCUCCCCACGUCUCCUGGAUCCAAAUUCCCAACUGCCCGGCACACAGUUUAACAGGUGCCUCUUUUAAUCUCACCGGCUUCUGCAGCCAAACACACUUAAGCACACAAUCUCAAGAAAACAUGACAAGUGUGAUGGAAAGCAGGUGUGAGCACACAGUCAAAGUGUCUAGAAAAGAGCAGGCGGAGUGCCGUCUUGAGGGACACAGGGUGCUGGGGGUCCCCCAAGCCACCUCCAGGUGGAUGACUCACGAGGGAGACUCCCAGGAGUUGGGACACGGUGGUGCUCUCGGCUGUGCUGUGUUACACGUCAGUCAACAAAGGGAAGAGGGACCUGGGGUGACACCCAGGCGAGACCCGGCAUAAGCCUGCAAAGGGCCCCUCCCAGAGGAACCACCCAGGACUCCGUUCCUCCCUGGAUGAGCUGUGACAACAUGGGUGAAGUGCUGUCCUCCAGACACACUCAUCAGAGACUCCGCACUCAGGGCUGGUCCCGCAGGCACCCUCCGCCUGGCAUAGACCCAGAAGGAGAACCGGUGCCCAGCACAAACCAUCCCGGUUGCACAAAAAGUGCAGGUGCGGCGAGCUGCUCUAAUCAGUUUAGGAAGGUGGGGAGCCCUCCCCCUGAAAUUUGAGUCCCCAAACCAGCCAAGGGCCAGCCCCGUAAGCAGGCCAUUCCAGGGACAGCAGUCAGGCCUGUGGCCCUGAACAGCUGCGCAGAAGGUGAGCCGGCCAGGGCGUUCCGGCAGCGGGAGGCCCGGGCACUGCAGCACCAGGGCUGAGCCAGGGCCACGGGCAGGCCUCCUGAAGGUGAAAAGUGGGCCGGAUGUGGUGCCUGUCCAGGAGAGGUCGGGGAAGGACAGCCCCCCAGGGCAGGAGGAGCCUCGGCUUCCUGACUCAGGUGACUGUGAAGUCACCGAGACAGAUGUGCUGACCUGGGCAGUGGGAGAGAGAAAAAAUGGUUCCUUGUAGAUGAGCGGGGCCAGAGGCAGCUGCCUGGGGCCUGACAGGGGUCCCGAGGAAACCCAGGAGAGGGCUGGGCCAGCCCACGAACGCCCCCCGUGGGCUGGUCCUCUCUGAGGAGUGGCAGGAGGCAGGCGUUUCUUUCUGCGUCCACGUCCUAACUACCUCAUGCACGGAAGCGAGACCGUGCAUGGCUCCCGUGCCCCGACCCCAUCAUAGAUGAGGUCUGUCUCAGGAGGAGGCAAGGGGUUGGGGGUCACUCUUGCACUCCUGUGACCCCUUCUGUGAUGCUGGGACACCCCAGCUGUGAGUGCUCCUGAGGCUCCCCAGCAACCCCGGCUCUUGGGACUAAGCUUCGGUCCAGGGCUCAUUUCUGUUCUUGCCCGGGUGGCCCACCUGGUAGAACACAGGACCCAUGGCCUCAGGAGCCCGGCAGCAGGGUGGGUCCCCACUAGAUCUGGGGGAUGCUCCAACAGCAAGCUGUAACUGCUGCCUGCACCAAGAAUCACAGUCCUGGUGGGGCUGGGGUGGGGAGAUAAGCCAUUAUAAUUACUCAGUGUGAUGAACCGGAGGACAUCCCUGUGCGAAAGACACCGGGGAGGAAAGCCAGGAAGGCUUCUGAGCCGAGGCAGCACGGACUCCAGACUGGGGCCAGCAGGACCAGCCAGGCAGAGGCGUGAAGGCACCUGUGCCCAGGGACGCGGGUGGUGGGCAUGGCUGGGGCAAAAGCUGGAACAGGAGGACAGAAGCAGGCCAGGCCCGGCCCCGAACACUGUGCCAAGAGGCACGAGCUUCUGGGGGGGCUGGGAGAGGGUCUGGAGCAGAGACCCACCUGGCGGCUUGGGGGCCAUUUCCAGCCUACAGAUGCCUUCACAUCAGCCCCGACGAGAGCUUAACGGUUUUUGGAAUCAAUUGCCAACACUUUAAAAAAAUGACAACAUUGGAUCUGCAAACCCCAGUUCCUGGCUUCUUUGAAAAACUAGGACGAUCUGGGAACAUGGGGGCCGCAGAGUAAGAGGGAUGUGGAAGUGACGGCACCCGGGUGGCAGAGCCGCCCGCUCUUGUGGGAACCAAAUCCUUAACCAGCUCUCCACCGUGAUACCCACACAUCAAAUGUGCCUGCUUGGCCCCUCUGGUGCAUUUGUGUUUGUAAUUCCUGCAUUAAACGCUUCUAUUCAUUUGGCCACAGGCAACCCAAGUCCACUGACAUCCUGGAAUCAGACUGAAGGAUCCCGUCGGGAACCGUUUGAUUGAUAUCACAAAGAUCCCAAAGGUUACAGAUCCUGGGAGAGGACACAAGCUUAAAGUUAGAGAGCUCUGGAGUUCCCACUGUGGCUCAGCAAGGUAAGAGGAUAUGGAUUCUUAACCUCGCUCAGUGGGUUAAGAAUCCGGCAUUGUCGUGACGGUGGUGUAGGUCACAGAUGAGGCUCGGAUCUGGCAUUGCUGUGGCUGUGGUGCAGGCUGGCUGCUACAGCUCUGAUUCCACUCCUAGCCUGGGAAUGUCCAUAUGCUGCAGGUGCAGCCCUAAAAAGCCAAAAAAAAAAGAGAGAGAGAGAGAUCUCAGAUGCAAGGCAGAGAGGAAAUACUGUCCCACUAAGACAGGGGGUCCGAUUCAGACGGCACCAGGCAGAUGGAGGAGGCUGCAGAGCUGGCGGGGGCGUGGGAGCAGUUCUAAAACGGCCUUUAGGAGAGAAGAGAGUCAGUCCAGGGUGAGGGGGUGUGUGUGGAGAGUGGGUCCAGGAUGGCUUCCAACAAAGGGGGAGCCCAGUGGAGUGGGAGCUGGGGGUGGGUGGCGAGGAACCAGGGGCAUCACCAGAGACCAGACAGGUUCAUGCGGCCUUGAAGGGGGGCUGCACGGUGAAAACCGAGGAGGAGGGUAACAGGACAAGAUUCCCACUGAGUUCUGAAGACCCGUAUCUCAAUUCUAUGUAACAUUUUACAGAAGAUGAAGACAUAUUCCGUUUACAGGACUGGCGGGGGGGAAGGCUUGCCCUCUCGGCACUUUCCAGAGGAUCCCUUCCAAGAAAAAUGUCUUCAAACUCAUAGGAACACAAAAGAACCAACAAAACUAAAAUACAGUGAUCAAAAAAAAAUUUUUUUUUCUUCUUAUGUUCACACCUGUGGCAUAUGGCAGUUUCCAGGCCAGGGGUGGAAUCAGAGCUGCAUCUGAGACCUACCCAGCAGCUUAUGGUAAUGUCUGAUCCUUAACCCACCGAGUGAGGCCAGGGAUCGAACCUGCAUUCUCAUGGAGAUGACGUUGGGUCCUUAACCGCUGAGCCACAACAGGAGAUUCCCAAAAUAUUUUAAAACUGCCUAAGGCAGACAAACAACACAACUCUUGAUUGAUGCUUUAAGACCUAGUGGGAGAGUGGUACCCACCACACUCCCAAAGAGUGGGCGUGUCAAGCCACCCAUCGAAUUGCCUGUGACAACUGCCAGGUGAGGUGAGAGGGCCAUGAUUUUGUGAGUGACAGAAUUACAGGUGCCACUACUGCUGCUGUGGACUGGCGCCUAUAUUCACCUUUGGUGGAAAUGCUAAAUCUGGGCAGAGGUUAGCAGAAAUAAAGACAACAUUCCCUUGCCCACACUCUUGGAUCCUGAAUUUUAUCUGCAGAGCAUGUUAAGGACUCUUGCUGGAGAGCAUCCGCCGUGGGCUCUGGACCACACCACCUUCCAGCUGCAGUGGCCAGUGAGCUGGCAGGACCUCCUUGCUCUGGAACUUACGGUCUUUAUACCUGAUCUAAGAAAUAGAGAAUGGGAGGGAGGCCCAAGGCCAGGAGAGGGUGGAGGGUGGCGCCUCGGAGGGAGCUCAUGUGGGCAGCACCUUGUACGAGGGAGGCGGGCAGGAAUGGGCAUCAGAGAGUGGCGGCCACAGAUUUCUUCUCAACAUGGAGACAUCAGCUAAUGCUGGGCUCACAGUCCUCUAACUCCCUGCUGAGGACGGGUGAAGACCUCACAAAUGACCAUGAACGGCAGUGGGACCAGAGCUUGUGAGGAAGCAGAGAGCAGGGGGUGUACAGGUGAGGAAAGGGGACACCGGGAGGAAACGGCACCAGACGAGGCUGUGAGGAGUGAUGCACGCUUGAAAUAUGUGACUCUUUUAGCAACAGCAGAAGAGAGAACAGCAUCUCAGAAGUCCCUGGAAGGAACCAGCUCUCGGGAGCUGGUGCAGUCAUGAUGCAGAACCAUCACCAUGCCUGGCACCUGGCAAGGGCUUGAGAAACACUGGGAACUGUGUAUAAGUUGCUAAAUGAUAAAUAACUUUUUGGAGUCCCCACUGUGACUCAGCAGACGUGAACCUGACUAAUAUCCAUGAGGAUUCGGGUUCAAUCCCUGGCCCCGCUCAGUGGGUUAAGGACCUGGCAUCGCCGUGAGCUAUGGUGUAGGUCGCAGACAUAGCUCAGAUCCCACAUUGCUGUGGCUGUGGUGUAGGCCGGCAGCUGUAGCUCUGAUUCAACCCCUAGCCUGGGAACUUCCAUAUGCCACGGGUGUGGCCCUAAAAAGCAAAAAAAAAAAA